GGAGGAAACUGUGAUGCAGCGAUGCCGCGUGAGUGAAGAAGGCCUUUGGGUUGUAAAGCUCUUUCGUCGGGGAAGAAAAUGACUGUACCCGAAUAAGAAGGUCCGGCUAACUUCGUGCCAGCAGCCGCGGUAAUACGAAGGGACCUAGCGUAGUUCGGAAUUACUGGGCUUAAAGAGUUCGUAGGUGGUUAAAAAAGUUGGUGGUGAAAGCCCAGAGCUUAACUCUGGAACUGCCAUCAAAACUUUUUAGCUAGAGUAUGAUAGAGGAAAGCAGAAUUUCUAGUGUAGAGGUGAAAUUCGUAGAUAUUAGAAAGAAUACCAAUUGCGAAGGCAGCUUUCUGGAUCAUUACUGACACUGAGGAACGAAAGCAUGGGUAGCGAAGAGGAUUAGAUACCCUCGUAGUCCAUGCCGUAAACGAUGUGUGUUAGAUGUUGGAAAUUUAUUUUCAGUGUCGCAGCGAAAGCAAUAAACACACCGCCUGGGGAGUACGACCGCAAGGUUA
This 503-nucleotide ribosomal RNA is filed under the name uncultured Alphaproteobacteria bacterium. RNAcentral's name for it is "bacterial SSU rRNA". It matches the Rfam family "Bacterial small subunit ribosomal RNA", at positions 373 to 896 of the family's 1533-position model. Lineage: Bacteria; Pseudomonadati; Pseudomonadota; Alphaproteobacteria. The record is from RNAcentral.